UGUUACAGUAGCCGGACACAAAAAAAUUCACGAACUAAACAAGGCCCUAUAUUCAUAUAAAUUCCAUACACCAUCAACUUAAUCCUUGGUUCAAAGAUCCCUCCUUUUUAUUCCACUCCUUUCUAGUGGCUAGACCUAAGCAAAUUUUGGCCCAGCCCAAGCAUGCUAAGUUUUGGCACGCCCAUAGACCUUAGUGGAUAAGGCCUAGGCACAGAUCACGCUGCCUUGGCCCAAGCUCGGUCUGAAAUAUUUAUUUUAGUUGUUAUACACUAUAAACUCUGCAAGCGGCCCACCAAGCCUAGGUUUGGUCUAACUCGCCUAGUGAGACGGUCAUAAGUGGGACUAUUUUGGCCCGAGAUAACUAGACUUUUGUUGGUCCGGCUUGCAAAAUGCUCGGGUCUAUUAGUGGUCGUGCAAUUUUAGUUGAAGCGAAACCUAAGUGACUACGGUUCUUUGGUGAGCUUAAUAAAACUGUUGGCUAAGCCUUUUUAAAUUUAAAUUUUAAAUAGUUACAUACUACCUUAUUCAAAAUCUACAUUUGUCUUCUUCUCUAAAAUAACUUAUUCAUCAUGGUAUUGCUAAGGUCUACUUGCGCUUGGCUCAAUCAGUCGUUAGUCGGCCGUCAUCUUAUCAAUAUCCAUUGACUUAAGCAUUCCAAAACAAAAUUGUGGAACUAUCACUGCCACCACUAAAUUGUUGACCUCUUGCCUCCUACUUAUGCUACUCUAUCGCAUUGUUGUGAACCCUGCCAUGACCAUAUUUGUUUCCCAUUGUGUAUAGUUUUUUUUGCAAAUAAAAAAUUAAUCCAAACUAUACCCUUUUUGGUUGCUUUCGAGUUUCUCACACAUGUCUACCAAGGAGUUGAUCGAUCAAUAGCGUAUAAUAUAUUUUUCUAGAAAAGAUAGCGUAUAAGAUAUUAAAAUAGAAUUUGUUUUUCAUGAUUUUAUAUAAUAUCUUCUAACUAAACACGUGUUUCCUUCAUUGGUCAUCUAGGAAGAUGUGAAAUUUGUUCCAUGAUCAUUCUAAUUGACACACUAUGUUUAGUUGUUCCCUCUUGAUGACACAUCGAUGGUGAUGCUAACAUGCACCUUACUCAUAGAUCCGUGCCUUUUGCCUAACAUAUCUUUAUAUUCAUCACAAUACUCCUAAUGUCUGAUAGAGCCACUAUCGCCUCAAGGAGCUGCUAGUCGGCCCAUCACCACCCCCAACAUCCAUUGAGGUUCUUACAUAUAUCCACGAAGGAAUUGAUUAUUGAAUAGCCUAGCUAUAAAAUAUCAAAAUAGGAAUUGUUUUUGAGAUUUUGUCUCGGCCAUCUGAGCAUGUUUCAGUGUCCUUGGUCAUUCAUGUGAAAGAUGUCAAAUUUGAUCCGUGAUCAUUGUGACCGAUACAUUCUAUCUAGUUUUCCCUUUCGACAA
Molecule: long non-coding RNA, 1415 nt
Organism: Sorghum bicolor (sorghum)
Lineage: Eukaryota; Viridiplantae; Streptophyta; Magnoliopsida; Poales; Poaceae
Exons: 2
Source: RefSeq, a predicted model, not a curated record